Molecule: ribosomal RNA, 253 nt
Filed under: uncultured bacterium
Lineage: Bacteria
Description: partial 16S ribosomal RNA
Rfam family: Bacterial small subunit ribosomal RNA
Source: RNAcentral
UACAGAGGUCCCAAGCGUUGUUCGGAUUCACUGGGCGUAAAGGGUGCGUAGGCGGUCGGGUAAGUCUGAUGUGAAAUCUCACAGCUUAACUGUGAAACUGCAUUGGAUACUAUCCGGCUAGAGGAAUGGAGGGGAGACUGGAAUACUUGGUGUAGCAGUGAAAUGCGUAGAUAUCAUUUGGAACGCCAAUGGUGAAAACAGGUAGCUGGGGAUGUGCUGACGCUGAGACACGAAAGCCAGGGGAGCAAACGGG